CCCUCCCUCUGGCGGCAGGCCUAACACAUGCAAGUCGAGCGCCCCGCAAGGGGAGCGGCGGACGGGUGAGUAACGCGUGGGAACGUACCCUUUGCUACGGAAUAGCCUCGGGAAACUGGGAGUAAUACCGUAUGUGUCCUUCGGGAGAAAGAUUUAUCGGCAAGGGAUCGGCCCGCGUUGGAUUAGGUAGUUGGUGGGGUAAUGGCCUACCAAGCCGACGAUCCAUAGCUGGUUUGAGAGGAUGAUCAGCCACACUGGGACUGAGACACGGCCCAGACUCCUACGGGAGGCAGCAGUGGGGAAUCUUAGACAAUGGGCGCAAGCCUGAUCUAGCCAUGCCGCGUGAGCGAUGAAGGCCUUAGGGUUGUAAAGCUCUUUCAGGGGGGAAGAUAAUGACUGUACCCCCAGAAGAAGCCCCGGCUAACUCCGUG
RNAcentral lists this ribosomal RNA (431 nucleotides) under uncultured bacterium. Its description in RNAcentral is "partial 16S ribosomal RNA". It matches the Rfam family "Bacterial small subunit ribosomal RNA", at positions 36 to 507 of the family's 1533-position model. The record is from RNAcentral.